This 478-nucleotide ribosomal RNA is filed under the name uncultured bacterium. RNAcentral describes it as "partial 16S ribosomal RNA". It matches the Rfam family "Bacterial small subunit ribosomal RNA", at positions 28 to 523 of the family's 1533-position model. The record is from RNAcentral.
GACGAACGCUGGCGGCGUGCUUAACACAUGCAAGUCGAACGGUAAGGCCCUUCGGGGUACACGAGUGGCGAACGGGUGAGUAACACGUGGGUGAUCUGCCCUGCACUUCGGGAUAAGCCUGGGAAACUGGGUCUAAUACCGGAUAGGACUCCGGACUGCAUGGUCUGGGGUGGAAAGCUUUUGCGGUGUGGGAUGGGCCCGCGGCCUAUCAGCUUGUUGGUGGGGGGAUGGCCCACCAAGGCGACGACGGGUAGCCGGCCUGAGAGGGGGACCGGGCACAGUGGGACUGAGAUACGGCCCAGACUCCUACGGGAGGCAGCAGGGGGGAAUAUUGCACAAUGGGCGCAAGCCUGAUGCAGCGACGCCGCGUGAGGGAUGACGGCCUUCGGGUUGUAAACCUCUUUCAGCAUCGACGAAGCGAAAGUGACGGUAGGUGCAGAAGAAGGACCGGCCAACUACGUGCCAGCCGCCGCCGUAA